Molecule: ribosomal RNA, 230 nt
Filed under: uncultured Alicycliphilus sp.
Lineage: Bacteria; Pseudomonadati; Pseudomonadota; Betaproteobacteria; Burkholderiales; Comamonadaceae
Description: partial 16S ribosomal RNA
Rfam family: Bacterial small subunit ribosomal RNA
Source: RNAcentral
AGAUCAUCAUUGGGCUUAAAGCGUGCGCAGGCGGUUUUGUAAGACAGAGGUGAAAUCCCCGGGCUCAACCUGGGAACUGCCUUUGUGACUGCAAGGCUGGAGUGCGGCAGAGGGGGAUGGAAUUCCGCGUGUAGCAGUGAAAUGCGUAGAUAUGCGGAGGAACACCGAUGGCGAAGGCAAUCCCCUGGGCCUGCACUGACGCUCAUGCACGAAAGCGUGGGGAGCAAACA